GGGAAGGGUAGGUGCUAGCAGGGACCGGGAAAGCUCCUGGUGGGCUGCCAAGACUUACAGGCUCGAGGCCCUGGGAAGGGAAUAAAGGAGCUGGAGCCAGAGGCAGGAGCAGAAGGAACUGAGGCUAUGGGGAAGUGGCCCAGGGAAUAGACAGUGAGCUGAAAGGAAGAGGCAGCAGGAAGCUGCUGUUUGCAGGGUCCUCAGGCUGCGGCCCCGAGUAGUGGGUGGGCCUGACCCUCCCCACUAGCUGUCGAAGGAGCAGCCCGGCUGUGGACUACCAAGCCACUGCGAGGAGUAGCUGGACUCUUGUUGAAGGAGUCCCCCAGAAGUGGGGGGGAAAACCAGAUGGUGACAUGGCCAGAAGGCUGUGCCACGAUGCAGACGCGGAGAGAAAGGAGCUGUAACCGGUCUGCAGUCAGAGGGAACUGAACUUCAUCAUUUGAUUACUGAUUCCCUUCACCUUCUAUGGUGGGUUCAGCGACCUGGCAGACCCCAGCCAAGGCACAUCCUAGCAGAAGUCACAAUCAUCUUCCAAAAAUGUCCUGCACCUAUGGCAGCAGGGGGAUCAU
Molecule: long non-coding RNA, 569 nt
Organism: Chelonia mydas (Green sea turtle)
Lineage: Eukaryota; Metazoa; Chordata; Testudines; Cheloniidae
Exons: 3
Source: RefSeq, a predicted model, not a curated record